CUUGUUGGCUACAGGCGACGACGGGUAGCCGGCCUGAGAGGGUGACCGGCCACAUUGGGACUGAGACACGGCCCAGACUCCUACGGGAGGCAGCAGUGGGGAAUAUUGCACAAUGGGCGAAAGCCUGAUGCAGCGACGCCGCGUGGGGGAUGACGGCCUUCGGGUUGUAAACCUCUUUCACCAGGGACGAAGCGUAAGUGACGGUACCUGCAGAAGAAGCACCGGCCAACUACGUGCCGGCAGCCGCGGGG
This 251-nucleotide ribosomal RNA is filed under the name uncultured bacterium. Its description in RNAcentral is "partial 16S ribosomal RNA". It matches the Rfam family "Bacterial small subunit ribosomal RNA", at positions 245 to 522 of the family's 1533-position model. The record is from RNAcentral.